RNA transcript from Triplophysa dalaica, 1285 nucleotides. It is a transcript of the gene named serine/arginine-rich splicing factor 7-like, with no coding region annotated. NCBI's taxonomy places the organism in Eukaryota, Metazoa, Chordata, Actinopteri, Cypriniformes, Nemacheilidae. The transcript is spliced from 5 exons. The record is from RefSeq and is a predicted model, not a curated record.
CCCGUUAAACAUAUACAUGAACUAUACGUGAACGCAGAAGAGUGCAUUUCUCAGCAUUUAUUCAGAACUGUGUGUUUGUUAAAUGCAGAUUUGUGGUUUGUGUUAGCGCGAGCAGCUAACCGUAAUGGCGCUCGCGAACAUCACUGAGCAGCAAAUAUUCUGUUUGGAUUUGUGCUUUGUCAGACGAUUUGUUUAUAAAAUUGAUUUAUAUUUCAGUAUUUAAGUGUGUUGAAUGUUUGUCGUUGUAUUGGAGUGUUUUCUCUACACUCGAAAAACGGUGGGUUUUGUAGAAGGAGCUUUAAAUAAGUAUAAAUAUGAAGUUUGCGUUGAGUAUAAUGUUAAGCACGCGCAGGUUUCGCUCUUUGUGUCAGAGACGAAGGUGUACGUGGGUAAUCUGGGCACCGGGGCCGGUAAGGGUGAGCUGGAGCGCGCGUUCGGUUAUUACGGGCCGCUGAGGACCGUGUGGAUCGCGCGCAAUCCUCCGGGAUUCGCCUUCGUGGAGUUUGAAGACCCGAGAGACGCCGAGGACGCAGUGCGUGGAGUGGACGGCAAGGUGAUUUGUGGAUCUCGUGUGCGUGUGGAAUUAUCCACAGGAAUGCCGCGGCGUUCCCGAUACGAACGGCCACCGACUCGCCGUCCCUUCGACCCGAGCGACCGCUGUUACGAGUGUGGCGAGAAGGGCCAUUAUGCGUACGACUGUCACCGUUACAGCCGUCGGCGCCGGAACAGGUUUCAUCGUUUGAUUCAGAGAAUCGCGAUCCUUUACGAUUUCAUGAGGCAUCUAGCAAAUUCCACACUUUCGAUCGCCUGCUAUGACGGGGGCACGAGCAGCCACACCCCUUCGCUGAGGCUCCUCCCGCUGCUACAUAACUAUUCGUAGCCCCUCCCCCACCUGAACCAGAUGAGAGUAAAUUUGGCUAGCGAUUCGAGCCCACGGUUUUGAUAAAGAGCAUCGAGACCUCGACAGACCACGAUCCCUUCUAGAAUAAGCGCCUUGCACACUUCCAUCAAGCCUCGAUCAAGUGAUUUGGCUGUCGGUACGAUCAUCGUUAGAAAUCGAAGGGAACGACUAGAUGCAGAGGUCGGCUGAUGAUAGAUACUUCUAGAUCGUCUAGAUCUGCUAGACCUCGACCUGCAAUGUUGCAAGGUCUCGCUCGCGUUCUCCAUCCAGAAGCCGGAGACACGGUCGCUCGCGCAGUCGAGGGAGAAGGUCCAGAUCUUUUUCUCCUCGUAAGUCUCGCUCUGGAUCUCCCAGACACUCUCGAUCUGUGACGCCGAAACCGUC